Molecule: ribosomal RNA, 468 nt
Filed under: uncultured bacterium
Lineage: Bacteria
Description: partial 16S ribosomal RNA
Rfam family: Bacterial small subunit ribosomal RNA
Source: RNAcentral
GAUGAACGCUGGCGGCGUGCUUAACACAUGCAAGUCGAACGGAAAGGCCCUGCUCUUGCUGGGUGCUCGUUUGGCGAACGGGUGAGUAACACGUGUGUAACCCGUCCCUGUAUUUGUGAUAACAUUAGGAAACUGGGGCUAUUACCCGAUAUGAGCUCUUGCAGCACGGUGGGGGUUGGUAAGAUUCGGCGGUUGGGGAUGGUCUCGCGGGUUAUCAGCUUGUUGGUGGGGUAGUGGCUUUCCAAGGUUUUGACGGGUAGCCGGCCUGGGAGGGUGACCGGCGACAUUGGGACUGAGAUACGGCCCAGAAGCCAACGGGAGGCAACAGUGGAGAGUAUUGCGCAGUGGGGGGAAGCCAGAUGCAGCAGCGCCGCGUGCGGGAUAACGGCCUACGGGGUAUAAACCGAUUUCGCAUGUAACGAGGAGUGAGUGACGGUAAUGGGUAAAGAAGCACCGGCUAACUACGUG